This 253-nucleotide ribosomal RNA is filed under the name uncultured bacterium. Its description in RNAcentral is "partial 16S ribosomal RNA". It matches the Rfam family "Bacterial small subunit ribosomal RNA", at positions 524 to 776 of the family's 1533-position model. The record is from RNAcentral.
UACGGAGGGUGCAAGCGUUGUUCGGAAUCAUUGGGCGUAAAGCGCGUGUAGGCGGCUUGGCAAGUCAGUUGUGAAAGCCCGGGGCCCAACCCCGGAAUUGCAUCUGAAACUGCCUAGCUAGAGUCCCGGAGAGGAAGGCAGAAUUCCCGGUGUAGGGGUGAAAUGCGCAGAUAUCAGGAAGAACACCAAUGGCGAAGGCAGCUCUCUGGGACGGUACUGACGCUGAGACGCGAAAGCGUGGGGAGCGAACAGG